AAGUGCGAUCAUACCAGCACUAAUGCACCGGAUCCCAUCAGAACUCCGCAGUUAAGCGUGCUUAGGCGAAAGUAGUACUAGGAUGGGUGACUUCCUGAGUUUUCUCUUUCUAAAAAAUU
This is a non-coding RNA of Arabis alpina (gray rockcress), 119 nucleotides long. The record is from Rfam. NCBI's taxonomy places the organism in Eukaryota, Viridiplantae, Streptophyta, Magnoliopsida, Brassicales, Brassicaceae.